AUUGAACGCUGGCGGCAGGCUUAACACAUGCAAGUCGAGCGGAGUGAUGGUGCUUGCACUAUCACUUAGCGGCGGACGGGUGAGUAAUGCUUAGGAAUCUGCCUAUUAGUGGGGGACAACAUCUCGAAAGGGAUGCUAAUACCGCAUACGUCCUACGGGAGAAAGCAGGGGAUCACUUGUGACCUUGCGCUAAUAGAUGAGCCUAAGUCGGAUUAGCUAGUUGGUGGGGUAAAGGCCUACCAAGGGGACGAUCUGGAGCGGGUCUGAGAGGAUGAUCCGCCACACUGGGACUGAGACACGGCCCAGACUCCUACGGGAGGCAGCAGUGGGGAAUAUUGGACAAGGGGGGGAACCCUGAUCCAGCCAUGCCGCGUGUGUGAAGAAGGCCUUAUGGUUGUAAAGCACUUUAAGCGAGGAGGAGGCUCUUUUGGUUAAUACCCAAGAUGAGUGGACGUUACUCGCAGAAUAAGCACCGGCUAACUCUGUGCCAGCCGCCGCGGUAA
Molecule: ribosomal RNA, 503 nt
Filed under: uncultured bacterium
Lineage: Bacteria
Description: partial 16S ribosomal RNA
Rfam family: Bacterial small subunit ribosomal RNA
Source: RNAcentral